CGUUCCCCUUCGGGGGACAGGGUGACAGGUGGUGCAUGGUUGUCGUCAGCUCGUGUCGUGUAGAUGUUGGGUUAAGUCCCGCAACGAGCCGCAACCCUCGACCUUAGUUGCCAGCAUUCAGUUGGGCACUCUAAGGUGACUGCCGGCUAAAAGUCGGAGGAAGUGGGGAUGACGUCAAAUCAUCAUGCCCCUUAUGACCUGGGCUACACACGUGCUACAAUGGGCGGUACAAAGGGUCGCGAACCCGCGAGGGGGAGCCAAUCCCAAAAAGCCGCUCUCAGUUCGGAUUGCAGGCUGCAACUCGCCUGCAUGAAGCCGGAAUCGCUAGUAAUCGCGGAUCAGCAUGCCGCGGUGAAUACGUUCCCGGGCCUU
Molecule: ribosomal RNA, 372 nt
Filed under: uncultured Anoxybacillus sp.
Lineage: Bacteria; Bacillati; Bacillota; Bacilli; Caryophanales; Anoxybacillaceae
Description: bacterial SSU rRNA
Rfam family: Bacterial small subunit ribosomal RNA
Source: RNAcentral